RNAcentral lists this ribosomal RNA (480 nucleotides) under uncultured bacterium. RNAcentral describes it as "bacterial SSU rRNA". It matches the Rfam family "Bacterial small subunit ribosomal RNA", at positions 28 to 495 of the family's 1533-position model. The record is from RNAcentral.
GAUGAACGCUAGCGACAGGCUUAACACAUGCAAGUCGAGGGGCAGCGGGGGAUAAGCUUGCUUUUCCUGCCGGCGACCGGCGCACGGGUGAGUAACACGUAUGCAACCUGCCCCUGUCAGAGGGAUAAUCCGGAGAAAUCCGGUCUAAUAUCGCAUAAAGCGUUUGCGGGGCAUCCUGCGAGCGCCAAAGGAGUAAUCCGGACAGGGAUGGGCAUGCGGCGCAUUAGCUAGUUGGGGGGGGUAACGGCCCACCAAGGCGACGAUGCGUAGGGGUUCUGAGAGGAAGGUCCCCCACAUUGGUACUGAGACACGGACCAAACUCCUACGGGAGGCAGCAGUGAGGAAUAUUGGUCAAUGGGCGGAAGCCUGAACCAGCCAAGUCGCGUGAGGGAAGACGGCCCUAAGGGUUGUAAACCUCUUUUGCCGGGGAGCAAAAGCGCCGUGCGCGGUGCUAUGAGAGUACCCGGAGAAAAAGCAUCG